AAACAUCUAAGUACCCCGAGGAAAAGAAAUCAACCGAGAUUCCCCCAGUAGCGGCGAGCGAACGGGGAGGAGCCCAGAGCCUGAAUCAGUGUGUGUGUUAGUGGAAGCGUCUGGAAAGGCGCGCGAUACAGGGUGACAGCCCCGUACACAAAAAUGCACAUAUUGUGAGCUCGAUGAGUAGGGCGGGACACGUGGUAUCCUGUCUGAAUAUGGGGGGACCAUCCUCCAAGGCUAAAUACUCCUGACUGACCGAUAGUGAACCAGUACCGUGAGGGAAAGGCGAAAAGAACCCCGGCGAGGGGAGUGAAAAAGAACCUGAAACCGUGUACGUACAAGCAGUGGGAGCCUCUUAAUGGGGUGACUGCGUACCUUUUGUAUAAUGGGUCAGCGACUUAUAUUCUGUAGCAAGGUUAACCGAAUAGGGGAGCCGAAGGGAAACCGAGUCUUAACUGGGCGUUAAGUUGCAGGGUAUAGACCCGAAACCCGGUGAUCUAGCCAUGGGCAGGUUGAAGGUUGGGUAACACUAACUGGAGGACCGAACCGACUAAUGUUGAAAAAUUAGCGGAUGACUUGUGGCUGGGGGUGAAAGGCCAAUCAAACCGGGAGAUAGCUGGUUCUCCCCGAAAGCUAUUUAGGUAGCGCCUCGUGAAUUCAUCUCCGGGGGUAGAGCACUGUUUCGGCAAGGGGGUCAUCCCGACUUACCAACCCGAUGCAAACUGCGAAUACCGGAGAAUGUUAUCACGGGAGACACACGGCGGGUGCUAACGUCCGUCGUGAAGAGGGAAACAACCCAGACCGCCAGCUAAGGUCCCAAAGUCAUGGUUAAGUGGGAAACGAUGUGGGAAGGCCCAGACAGCCAGGAUGUUGGCUUAGAAGCAGCCAUCAUUUAAAGAAAGCGUAAUAGCUCACUGGUCGAGUCGGCCUGCGCGGAAGAUGUAACGGGGCUAAACCAUGCACCGAAGCUGCGGCAGCGACACUAUGUGUUGUUGGGUAGGGGAGCGUUCUGUAAGCCUGUGAAGGUGGCCUGUGAGGGUUGCUGGAGGUAUCAGAAGUGCGAAUGCUGACAUAAGUAACGAUAAAGCGGGUGAAAAGCCCGCUCGCCGGAAGACCAAGGGUUCCUGUCCAACGUUAAUCGGGGCAGGGUGAGUCGACCCCUAAGGCGAGGCCGAAAGGCGUAGUCGAUGGGAAACAGGUUAAUAUUCCUGUACUUGGUGUUACUGCGAAGGGGGGACGGAGAAGGCUAUGUUGGCCGGGCGACGGUUGUCCCGGUUUAAGCGUGUAGGCUGGUUUUCCAGGCAAAUCCGGAAAAUCAAGGCUGAGGCGUGAUGACGAGGCACUACGGUGCUGAAGCGACAAAUGCCCUGCUUCCAGGAAAAGCCUCUAAGCAUCAGGUAACAUCAAAUCGUACCCCAAACCGACACAGGUGGUCAGGUAGAGAAUACCAAGGCGCUUGAGAGAACUCGGGUGAAGGAACUAGGCAAAAUGGUGCCGUAACUUCGGGAGAAGGCACGCUGAUAUGUAGGUGAAGCGACUUGCUCGUGGAGCUGAAAUCAGUCGAAGAUACCAGCUGGCUGCAACUGUUUAUUAAAAACACAGCACUGUGCAAACACGAAAGUGGACGUAUACGGUGUGACGCCUGCCCGGUGCCGGAAGGUUAAUUGAUGGGGUUAGCGGUAACGCGAAGCUCUUGAUCGAAGCCCCGGUAAACGGCGGCCGUAACUAUAACGGUCCUAAGGUAGCGAAAUUCCUUGUCGGGUAAGUUCCGACCUGCACGAAUGGCGUAAUGAUGGCCAGGCUGUCUCCACCCGAGACUCAGUGAAAUUGAACUCGCUGUGAAGAUGCAGUGUACCCGCGGCAAGACGGAAAGACCCCGUGAACCUUUACUAUAGCUUGACACUGAACAUUGAGCCUUGAUGUGUAGGAUAGGUGGGAGGCUUUGAAGUGUGGACGCCAGUCUGCAUGGAGCCGACCUUGAAAUACCACCCUUUAAUGUUUGAUGUUCUAACGUGGGCCCCUUACCGGGGUUGCGGACAGUGUCUGGUGGGUAGUUUGACUGGGGCGGUCUCCUCCUAAAGAGUAACGGAGGAGCACGAAGGUUGGCUAAUCCUGGUCGGACAUCAGGAGGUUAGUGCAAUGGCAUAAGCCAGCUUGACUGCGAGCGUGACGGCGCGAGCAGGUGCGAAAGCAGGUCAUAGUGAUCCGGUGGUUCUGAAUGGAAGGGCCAUCGCUCAACGGAUAAAAGGUACUCCGGGGAUAACAGGCUGAUACCGCCCAAGAGUUCAUAUCGACGGCGGUGUUUGGCACCUCGAUGUCGGCUCAUCACAUCCUGGGGCUGAAGUAGGUCCCAAGGGUAUGGCUGUUCGCCAUUUAAAGUGGUACGCGAGCUGGGUUUAGAACGUCGUGAGACAGUUCGGUCCCUAUCUGCCGUGGGCGCUGGAGAACUGAGGGGGGCUGCUCCUAGUACGAGAGGACCGGAGUGGACGCAUCACUGGUGUUCGGGUUGUCAUGCCAAUGGCACUGCCCGGUAGCUAAAUGCGGAAGAGAUAAGUGCUGAAAGCAUCUAAGCACGAAACUUGCCCCGAGAUGAGUUCUCCCUGACUCCUUGAGAGUCCUGAAGGAACGUUGAAGACGACGACGUUGAUAGGCCGGGUGUGUAAGCGCAGCGAUGCGUUGAGCUAACCGGUACUAAUGAACCGUGAGGCUUAACCUUACAACGCCGAAG
RNAcentral lists this ribosomal RNA (2722 nucleotides) under Escherichia coli. RNAcentral describes it as "partial 23S ribosomal RNA". It matches the Rfam family "Bacterial large subunit ribosomal RNA". Lineage: Bacteria; Pseudomonadati; Pseudomonadota; Gammaproteobacteria; Enterobacterales; Enterobacteriaceae. The record is from RNAcentral.